UAAUUAAGUUCCGUGGUUGAAUCGUGGAACUAAAUACGUUUUUCCACUCGUAAAAUAAUUUUAUUCAAUUUGCAAACCGUAAAGGGUUUAAUGACGUUCAUCCAAACUGAGCUGGAAUGAUUAGUUAUUGAUCUAUCAAUCAGCAUGUAAUCCGCUGCCUUUCUUUGUUUUCUAUUAACUGAAUACAUUUUUUUUUUUGGUCCGAUUUAUAUUAAUUGAUAUUGAUCUGUCUUUAUUUUCACAUUGUUGUUUCUGUGAUGAACUGGUAGAAAACCAAACCAGGAACAUUGAAUCAUCCAGACCUUUACAUGAACUAAUCAGGCUCUGCCUCUGAUCGCCGUAUUGAUCGCCGUAUUGAUCGCCUAUCUUAAAUGGGUCCUGUGUAGUUUCUGUCGUAUUUGUAUUGAUGCAUGAGGGAUAACGCAUGUCUCAUGGUGUUUUUAUGCAGAUUAAAGACUUCUGUAUUUGAUCUUCAGGGGACGAGAUGAGUCUUCAGUGGACGGCCGUGGCCACCUUCCUCUAUGGAGAGGUCUUCUUCGUCCUGCUGCUCUGCAUCCCGUUCAUCUCCCCCAAGAGGUACCGAGCUCCCGGUUCUUCAUCGGGGAAGUUUAGUGUGACCUCAUCAGAAGGAAGGGGAGCGUCGUAAAGAAAAAAAAACCUACUACGCAAAACUCUUCUUUUAAAAUGAAAGUUUAAUCUUCUCUCAAACAAAGAAGUCUGUUUGGAUCAUUAAAAACAUACAUGUAUCAUUUAAAAUGUAUAUAAAUAUUUAAUGUAUAAACUAUGAUAAAUCACUGGCGGGCCAGCGUUUCUGAGAUUGCAGUGAGACGAGGAGAAAAGGUUGUGCCGGUUGGUUGUGCCGGUUGGUUGUGCCGGUUGGUUGUGUGUUUCAGCCUGGUUUGUACCAUUUAUUAUUCUACAUGGAUCAUCAGAACUCUCAGCCCCCCCCUCCUUUAUGAGUUUGCAGGUAGGCUUUGUCUUCUGUGUGUGUGUGUGUGUGUAUGUAUGUAUGUAUGUAUGUAUGUAUGUAUGAAUAUAAUAUAUAUAUAUAUAUAUUAUAUAUAAUAUAUUCAUCUGCAGCAGUAGAUGGCGUCGGCUGCAGCGUCAUCAGGGAGAACGUUAGAUACGUGUGCAUCUCGGCCUUCAGUCAUCCAGGUGACCUGAAGCUGGAAUAAGUAUCUGUUGUUUAAACCAAGCUAGUGUGCUAAAUGGUAGUUGAUUCUACUGUUUUAAGUUUAACCUGAUUGCUAGUUUGCUUUAGGGCUGUCAACAAAUAUUCAGAUAUUUAGCAAAUAAAAUUAAAACGUCAGCGCGGCGGUCUGCUCAGUGGACGCGCGCCGGAUACCGACUGCAUGUCGC
This is a long non-coding RNA of Gasterosteus aculeatus (three-spined stickleback), 1359 nucleotides long. The record is from Ensembl. NCBI's taxonomy places the organism in Eukaryota, Metazoa, Chordata, Actinopteri, Perciformes, Gasterosteidae.